GAUGAACGCUGGCGGCGUGCCUAAUACAUGCAAGUCGAGCGAACAGAUAAUGAGCUUGCUCCUUUGACGUUAGCGGCUGACGUGUGAUUAACACGUGGGUAACCUACCUAUAUUACUUGGAUAACUUCGUGAAACCGGAGCUAAUACCGGAUAACAUUUUGAACCGCAUUGUUCUAAAGUGAAUUAUGUUUUUGCUAUCUCUUAUAGAUUGACCCGCGCCGUAUUAGCUAGUUGGUAAGGUAACGGCUUACCAAGGCAACGAUACGUAGCCGACCUGAGAGGGGGAUCGGCGACACGGGAACUGAGACACGGAAAAGACUACUACGGGAGGCAGCAGUAGGGAAUAUUACGCAAUGGGAGAAAGCAUGACGGAGCAAAGCGGAGUGAGUGAUGAAGGGAUACGGAUCGUAAAACACUGUUAUGAGGGAAGAACAAAAGUGUAAGUAAAUGUGCACGUAGUGACGGUAACUAAUAAGAAAGCAACGGCUAACUACGUG
This 497-nucleotide ribosomal RNA is filed under the name uncultured bacterium. RNAcentral's name for it is "partial 16S ribosomal RNA". It matches the Rfam family "Bacterial small subunit ribosomal RNA", at positions 28 to 507 of the family's 1533-position model. The record is from RNAcentral.